CAGCCGUAAACUAUGCGCGUUAGGUGUAUCGGUGACCACGAGUUACCGAGGUGCCGAAGGGAAACCGUGAAACGUGCCGCCUGGGAAGUACGGUCGCAAGGCCGAAACUUAAAGGAAUUGGCGGGGGAGCACCACAACGGGUGGAGCCUGCGGUUUAAUUGGACUCAACGCCGGGAAGCUCACCGGAUAAGACAGCGGAAUGAUUGCCGGGCUGAAGACUCUGCAUGACUAGCUGAGAGGAGGUGCAUGGCGUAGACGUCU
RNAcentral lists this ribosomal RNA (261 nucleotides) under uncultured archaeon. RNAcentral's name for it is "partial 16S ribosomal RNA". It matches the Rfam family "Archaeal small subunit ribosomal RNA", at positions 748 to 1009 of the family's 1478-position model. The record is from RNAcentral.